Molecule: long non-coding RNA, 1551 nt
Organism: Triticum aestivum (bread wheat)
Lineage: Eukaryota; Viridiplantae; Streptophyta; Magnoliopsida; Poales; Poaceae
Exons: 3
Source: RefSeq, a predicted model, not a curated record
CUGGUCUCUUUCGCUCGCACCCUCGCGUUGCGGCGCCUCGCCAUGGUCGACCGAUGUGGGGUCCCUCCACCUUCGCUAUCCCUGACCACGACCUCGAGUGGCGGCGCCACCGCUUCUCUCUGUGUGCCCCUCCGCCGCUGCGUCGCCGGUAUCUCGCUGAAAGGCGCGUCGAGCUUGCCAGAUCGGCCCUGCCGCCGCGAAUCCACUUCGUCCCUAUGUUGAUUCUGAGCUGACCUUGAGGCGAUCGCGGAUGAUUGGAUUGAGGGGGCUCUCUUGAGGCAACACCGAGAUGACGGUCUGCUGCAACUCGGCGGCAAUGACAACGCGCGACAGUUAGCCGGUGAUUUGAGUGAGGGGGCUCUCACGCGGAGAUGUCGACGGGCUGCAAGUCAGGGACAAUGGGUAUGUAGCAGUAGAGGCAGCCCAUCUUCCUUCCUCCGCUUAUGCGCGCAGGUGCUUUGGCCAUUGGUCUCCACAAAUUCUUGAGAAUUCAUGUUGCCUCUUGCGACCCCCUCUGCUGUAUAGUAUCACACCAUUGAGCUGCCCUCUGGUUCCUAAGUAUCCAGAAAAGAAUGCAUAUCUUGCUUAAGGAUGAUGGUUCCCUUCAUUGAUUGCAUAACUGCUGGUAUUUGUACUAAAGGUUGGACAUCAAAGGAAGUUCUGAUGGGCAAGAGGUGCCUUUAAUGGUUGAAGUUCCAAUUUAUACAACAAGAUGGUGUGUGUGUGUGUGUGUGUGUGUGUGUGUGUGUGAAAGCUAGAGAUGGAAAUAGAUCUGUUGGUUCAACAAGUGAUGAAUAGAGCAGUCACUCCCAUAGGUACUUUUUUUGCGAGAAUCCCAUAGGUACUGUUGUUUGAUUGAAUAUACUUAUAUGCAUUUCUAAUUAAUUUAACUUAUUUAUUGGAAUAGGUUUCCACAAUUCAAUAUCUACUAAGAUUGAUCAUUUGCUUUAGAGUUAGUGCACUGGACAUGUUAUUGGGAUUAUUUCAGCAGAAGGUAUCUGGACUUCUGUUGCACUCGAGGGAUUGGUUAGGGUCAUUGUUAGGAGUGAGCAUUUAUCCAUUAGCUAAAAGAGUAAGAGCCACAUGUUGAUCUACCCAGCUAGAAGUUAUCAUCUAGGUAAAGCUAAAGUACGAGCCAUGCAGCAGUCAAUAUUGCAUGAACAAAUCAUUCUCUGCAUUGAGCGAUGUUAUUGCUACCUUUGCCUUAAAAAAUUGCCCAUAUCCCCUACAGGCAGUCUUAUUGCGUUCCUCCAAGAAUGAUGAAUCACAUAUAGGGAGAUAAGGCAGUGGAUAUAUAGAUCACAAAUGAUGUACCUUGAGUUUAUUUAGUUGUUACAUUUGAUUGCAAGUUAGUAACUUCAUAAUUAUUCAAUGUUACUCUGUUGGAGGAGAAAUGUGUUGACGCUAAUGAAAACGCGAUCCGAUGAAAUACUGAGUUUAUGAUCUCUAGACACGAUCUAAUACUCUUAAUUGAUUUCAAUGUUUUCCUACCAUAUAAAAACGCUAAACCAUUUGGAUUCUAGGUGUCUUAUCACACCAUGCAGCUUUAGA